Molecule: ribosomal RNA, 586 nt
Filed under: uncultured bacterium
Lineage: Bacteria
Description: bacterial SSU rRNA
Rfam family: Bacterial small subunit ribosomal RNA
Source: RNAcentral
GAGUAGCUUGCUACUUUGCUGACGAGCGGCGGACGGGUGAGUAAUGCUUGGGAAUAUGCCAUAUGGUGGGGGACAACAGUUGGAAACGACUGCUAAUACCGCAUAACGUCUACGGACCAAAGAGGGGGAUUCUUCGGAACCUCUUGCCAUUUGAUUAGCCCAAGUGAGAUUAGCUAGUUGGUGAGGUAAUGGCUCACCAAGGCGACGAUCUCUAGCUGGUUUGAGAGGAUGAUCAGCCACACUGGGACUGAGACACGGCCCAGACUCCUACGGGAGGCAGCAGUGGGGAAUAUUGCACAAUGGGCGAAAGCCUGAUGCAGCCAUGCCGCGUGUGUGAAGAAGGCCUUCGGGUUGUAAAGCACUUUCAGUUGUGAGGAAAGGUGGGUAGUUAAUAGCUGCUCGCUGUGACGUUAGCAACAGAAGAAGCACCGGCUAACUCCGUGCCAGCAGCCGCGGUAAUACGGAGGGUGCGAGCGUUAAUCGGAAUUACUGGGCGUAAAGCGUGCGUAGGCGGUUUGUUAAGCAAGAUGUGAAAGCCCAGGGCUCAACCUUGGAACUGCAUUUUGAACUGGCAAACUAGAGUACU